This 830-nucleotide small RNA is filed under the name Tintelnotia sp. 1. RNAcentral describes it as "eukaryotic LSU rRNA". It matches the Rfam family "Eukaryotic large subunit ribosomal RNA", at positions 84 to 933 of the family's 3401-position model. Lineage: Eukaryota; Fungi; Ascomycota; Dothideomycetes; Pleosporales; Phaeosphaeriaceae. The record is from RNAcentral.
UAACGGCGAGUGAAGCGGCAACAGCUCAAAUUUGAAAUCUGGCCCUUUCAGGGUCCGAGUUGUAAUUUGCAGAGGGCGCUUUGGCAUUGGCAGCGGUCCAAGUUCUUUGGAACAGGACGUCACAGAGGGUGAGAAUCCCGUACGUGGUCGCUAGCCUUUGCUGUGUAAAGCCCCUUCGACGAGUCGAGUUGUUUGGGAAUGCAGCUCUAAAUGGGAGGUAAAUUUCUUCUAAAGCUAAAUACUGGCCAGAGACCGAUAGCGCACAAGUAGAGUGAUCGAAAGAUGAAAAGCACUUUGGAAAGAGAGUCAAAUAGCACGUGAAAUUGUUGAAAGGGAAGCGCUUGCAGCCAGACUUGCCUGUAGUUGCUUAUCUGGACUUUUGUCCAGUGCACUCUUCUGCGGGCAGGCCAGCAUCAGUUUGGGCGGUUGGAUAAAGGUCUCUAUCACGUACCUCUCUUCGGGGAGGCCUUAUAGGGGAGACGUCAUGCAACCAGCCUGGACUGAGGUCCGCGCAUCUGCUAGGAUGCUGGCGUAAUGGCUGUAAGCGGCCCGUCUUGAAACACGGACCAAGGAGUCUAACAUCUAUGCGAGUGUUUGGGUGUCAAGCCCAGACGCGUAAUGAAAGUGAACGGAGGUGGGAACCCUUUGGGUGCACCAUCGACCGAUCCUGAUGUCUUCGGAAGGAUUUGAGUAAGAGCAUGGCUGUUGGGACCCGAAAGAUGGUGAACUAUGCUUGAAUAGGGUGAAGCCAGAGGAAACUCUGGUGGAGGCUCGCAGCGGUUCUGACGUGCAAAUCGAUCGUCAAAUUUGGGCAUAGGGGCGAAAGACUA